ACUCAAAUGAAUUGACGGGGGCCCGCACAAGCGGUGGAUCAUGUGGUUUAAUUCGAAGCAACGCGAAAAACCUUACCUAGGUUUGACAUCUCCGGCUACCAGCAGAAAUGUUGGGUUCGUAGCAAUACGACCGGAAGACAGGUGCUGCAUGGCUGUCGUCAGCUCGUGUGGUGACAUGUUGGGUUAAGUCCCGCAACGAGCGCAACCCCUGCUUCUAGUUGCCAGCAUUCAGUUGGGCACUCUAGAGGGACUGCCGUGGUUAACACGGAGGAAGGUGGGGAUGACGUCAAGUCCUCAUGGCCUUUAUAUCUAGGGCGACACACGUGAUACAAUGGACGGUACAGAGGGAAGCCAAAGCGCGAGCUGGAGCCAAUCUCAAAAAGCCGUUCUCAGUUCGGAUUGGAGUCUGCAACUCGACUCCAUGAAGUUGGAAUCGCUAGUAAUCGCGGAUCAGCACGCCGCGGUGAAUACGUUCCCGGGCCUUGUACACACCGCCCGU
Molecule: ribosomal RNA, 499 nt
Filed under: uncultured bacterium
Lineage: Bacteria
Description: partial 16S ribosomal RNA
Rfam family: Bacterial small subunit ribosomal RNA
Source: RNAcentral